GCAGUCGAGGGGCAGCGAGAGUGAUAGCAAUAUUACUUGUCGGCGACCGGCGCACGGGUGCGUAACGCGUAUGCAACCUACCAUCAACAGGGGGAUAACACUGAGAAAUUGGUACUAAUACCCCAUAAUAUCUCAUGCGGCAUCGCAUGGGGUUGAAAACUCCGGUGGUUGAUGAUGGGCAUGCGUUGUAUUAGCUGGUUGGUGAGGUAACGGCUCACCAAGGCGACGAUACAUAGGGGGACUGAGAGGUUAACCCCCCACAUUGGUACUGAGACACGGACCAAACUCCUACGGGAGGCAGCAGUGAGGAAUAUUGGUCAAUGGACGCAAGUCUGAACCAGCCAUGCCGCGUGCAGGAUGACGGCUCUAUGAGUUGUAAACUGCUUUUGUACGAGGGUAAACCCCGAUACGUGUAUCGGGUUGAAAGUAUCGUACGAAUAAGGAUCGGCUAACUCCGUGCCAGCAGCCGCGGUAAUACGGAGGAUCCGAGCGUUAUCCGGAUUUAUUGGGUUUAAAGGGUGCGUAGGCGGUUUGAUAAGUUAGAGGUGAAAUGUCGGGGCUCAACCCCGAAACUGCCUCUAAUACUGUUGGACUAGAGAAUAGUUGCGGUAGGCGGAAUGUAUGGUGUAGCGGUGAAAUGCUUAGAGAUCAUACAGAACACCGAUUGCGAAGGCAGCUUACCAAACUAUAUCUGACGUUGAGGCACGAAAGCGUGGGUAGCAAACAGGAUUAGAUACCCUGGUAGUCCACGCAGUAAACGAUGAUAACUCGUUGUCGGCGAUACACAGUCGGUGACUAAGCGAAAGCGAUAAGUUAUCCACCUGGGGAGUACGUUCGCAAGAAUGAAACUCAAA
Molecule: ribosomal RNA, 854 nt
Filed under: uncultured bacterium
Lineage: Bacteria
Description: bacterial SSU rRNA
Rfam family: Bacterial small subunit ribosomal RNA
Source: RNAcentral